AACAAAGUAUGUUGUCCAAGUUAUCUAUAAUUCACACUAAAACCAUGCAAAGUAGGAUUUAUUUUCCAUUUUCCAGAUGGAGAGGCUGGCUGCACUUGAGCAAUUUUGCAGAAUUACGUGGAUUAUAAAUGUCAGAAGUAGGAUUUGAACCCAGCCUGGCUGCUUGUCCACUCCAUCACAUGCUUUCUACCUGCAAACCUGGGACGAAGGUCUGUUUCCAGAUCCAUGCAGAAAAGUAUCAGCAUUACCAGAGAAAGACCAAUGCACAGGAUGACUACAGGCAGUAGAACCCAGCUGAGCACAAGCUACGUGCUCCAGAGUAACGAAAGGAUCAAAUCAGGUGGGUGGAGUGAUUUGGAGAGUAGUUGGAUUGGAGCUAAGAGUUGGGUUAAGAGUUGGGUUAAGUUAGAGAAGAAGGCUGAUAUUGGGUGAUCAGACUAAGAUCAGUGAGAGGGCCAUCUGGUUGGCAAGAGUAAGAAUGCUUGCAGGGACUCUGACCAUUCGGGACACUGGCACAGGGGAGGGUAUGGUCAUCUGGUUGAUGCUCACAGAGGAAAAAUAGGUGAACACCAUCGGGAUAAGCCUGACAGUUAAUUGUAGUUCCCAAAGGACAGAUUGUACAACUGAAAGGUUGUUGUUCAAAGGGUUUAGUAGAGACGUGUACUUAGUAAUCAGUUAGUACAUAACAUAUGUACUAUAUGUACUAUAACAUAACAUAACAUAACCUAUAUACCCUGCGUAAGAUGUUUUAGUCACUAGAGCAAAGGAUGUGAGGUUUUGCUUGUUUAUUUGUUUGCUCUUUGUUAUUGGAGCUCAUCAUACUUGAAGUAUAAGCAGAAUCACUGCUUUAAUGUGAAUAAGGAACUUCCUUGGGAGGAGAAUAGGAGUUGAGUUCUUCAGUUACUGGGGAUGUGUUCAUGGGAAUGCUUUUCUUUGGAUCUCUAACAGGAGAUAAAAUUGAGAGACUUAGUAAGGUGAGGUGGGGUUGAGGGACUAAAGUUAUCAUAGAAGGAAUCUUUUAAAUAUCUUGUUCUUUAAGCCCACUGUUUCCCACAAAACAGGAAAAUGUUUGGUUCAGAACUACAUCCAUAUGAUGACAUUACAUCUGUGGCUUUUAAUAUAAGGAGUUCUUUUUAAGUUUUUUUAAGUUUACUUAUUUAUUUUGAGAGAAAGAGAGAGCAUGAGCAAGGGAGGGGCAUAGAGAGAGGAAGAGAGAGAAUCACAAGUAGGCUCUGUACUGUCAGCACAGAGCCUGACAUAGGGCUUGAAUCCACCCAUGAAACCAGGUGCAACCUGGUCCUGUCUGGUCCACUUCUCCAGGAGCUGUGGCAGGACUGACCUUCAUGACAGCCACUCAGGCUUCCUGGCUGCUGGACUGCAGGCGUCCUGUUAGGACCUACCACCUGCUCUCACAAGAGCUGGUUCCUGUGGUCUAUGCUGUUAAUAGACCUGUUAAUAGAUGCUGUUUUAUUCAGUAAUGGGUAAAGAAUAUUUGAUUUUGCUCCAUGUCUUAUUUCUAAUAUUUAUUUAAAACUGGGGAACCUGGGUGGCUCAGUCAGUUAAGCAUCCAGCUCUGAUUUCGGCUCAGGUCAUGAUCACAGUUCAUGAGUUCAAACCCUGCAUGGGGCUCUGCAGUAGCAGUGCAGAGGCUGCUUAAGAUUCUCUACCUCAAAAUAAAUAAAUAAACUUAAAAACA
This 1696-nucleotide long non-coding RNA is filed under the name Felis catus (domestic cat). RNAcentral describes it as "lncRNA (ENSFCAG00000048659.1)". Lineage: Eukaryota; Metazoa; Chordata; Mammalia; Carnivora; Felidae. The record is from RNAcentral.